Octopus sinensis (East Asian common octopus) is the source of this 67-nucleotide non-coding RNA. The record is from the annotation of a RefSeq genome assembly. Lineage: Eukaryota; Metazoa; Mollusca; Cephalopoda; Octopoda; Octopodidae.
AGAGUUUUAAGUUAAAUUAAACUAAAAGUUUUCAAGACUUUAAAUAGAUAAUUAUAUUUAAAUUCUG